UAACGCGUGGGUAACCUGCCCUGUACACACGGAUAACAUACCGAAAGGUAUGCUAAUACGAGAUAAAAUACUUUUAUCGCAUGGUAGAAGUAUCAAAGCUUUUGCGGUACAGGAUGGACCCGCGUCUGAUUAACUAGUUGGUAAGGUAACGGCUUACCAAGGCGACGAUCAGUAGCCGACCUGAGAGGGUGAUCGGCCACAUUGGAACUGAGACACGGUCCAAACUCCUACGGGAGGCAGCAGUGGGGAAUAUUGCACAAUGGGCGAAAGCCUGAUGCAGCAACGCCGCGUGAGCGAUGAAGGCCUUCGGGUCGUAAAGCUCUGUCCUCAAGGAAGAUAAUGACGGUACUUGAGGAGGAAGCCCCGGCUAACUACGUGCCAGCAGCCGCGGUAAUACGUAGGGGGCUAGCGUUAUCCGGAAUUACUGGGCGUAAAGGGUGCGUAGGUGGUUUCUUAAGUCAGAGGUGAAAGGCUACGGCUCAACCGUAGUAAGCCUUUGAAACUGGGGAACUUGAGUGCAGGAGAGGAGAGUGGAAUUCCUAGUGUAGCGGUGAAAUGCGUAGAUAUUAGGAGGAACACCAGUUGCGAAGGCGGCUCUCUGGACUGUAACUGACACUGAGGCACGAAAGCGUGGGGAGCAAACAGGAUUAGAUACCCUGGUAGU
Molecule: ribosomal RNA, 664 nt
Filed under: uncultured bacterium
Lineage: Bacteria
Description: bacterial SSU rRNA
Rfam family: Bacterial small subunit ribosomal RNA
Source: RNAcentral